GACGAACGCUGGCGGCGUGCUUAACACAUGCAAGUGGGGCGACGAACCAGGCUUCGGCCUGGGGCAAAGCCGCGAACGGGUGAGUAACACGUGGGUAACCUGCCCCGAAGACCGGGACAACCCGGGGAAACCCGGGCUAAUACCGGAUGUGGUCAUCGUUCAUAAGGACGAUGAGCAAAGGAAGCUUCGGCCUCCGCUUCGGGAUGGGCCCGCGGCCCAUUAGCUUGUUGGUGAGGUAACGGCUCACCAAGGCUUCAUGGGUAGCUGGUCUGAGAGGACGAUCAGCCACACUGGGACUGAGACACGGCCCAGACUCCUACGGGAGGCAGCAGUGGGGAAUCUUGCGCAAUGCGCGAAAGCGUGACGCAGCAACGCCGCGUGGGGGAAGACGGCC
RNAcentral lists this ribosomal RNA (394 nucleotides) under uncultured bacterium. Its description in RNAcentral is "bacterial SSU rRNA". It matches the Rfam family "Bacterial small subunit ribosomal RNA", at positions 28 to 416 of the family's 1533-position model. The record is from RNAcentral.